Molecule: ribosomal RNA, 1433 nt
Filed under: Bacteroides fragilis
Lineage: Bacteria; Pseudomonadati; Bacteroidota; Bacteroidia; Bacteroidales; Bacteroidaceae
Description: bacterial SSU rRNA
Rfam family: Bacterial small subunit ribosomal RNA
Source: RNAcentral
AAGGACUGGCUCGGCUUACACAUGCAGUCGAGGGGCAUCAGGAAGAAAGCUUGCUUUCUUUGCUGGCGACCGGCGCACGGGUGAGUAACACGUAUCCAACCUGCCCUUUACUCGGGGAUAGCCUUUCGAAAGAAAGAUUAAUACCCGAUAGUAUAAUGAUUCCGCAUGGUUUCAUUAUUAAAGGAUUCCGGUAAAGGAUGGGGAUGCGUUCCAUUAGGUUGUUGGUGAGGUAACGGCCCACCAAGCCUUCGAUGGAUAGGGGUUCUGAGAGGAAGGUCCCCCACAUUGGAACUGAGACACGGUCCAAACUCCUACGGGAGGCAGCAGUGAGGAAUAUUGGUCAAUGGGCGAUGGCCUGAACCAGCCAAGUAGCGUGAAGGAUGACUGCCCUAUGGGUUGUAAACUUCUUUUAUAUUAGAAUAAAGUGCAGUAUGUAUACUGUUUUGUAUGUAUAAUAUGAAUAAGGAUCGGCUAACUCCGUGCCAGCAGCCGCGGUAAUACGGAGGAUCCGAGCGUUAUCCGGAUUUAUUGGGUUUAAAGGGAGCGUAGGUGGACUGGUAAGUCAGUUGUGAAAGUUUGCGGCUCAACCGUAAAAUUGCAGUUGAUACUGUCAGUCUUGAGUACAGUAGAGGUGGGCGGAAUUCGUGGUGUAGCGGUGAAAUGCUUAGAUAUCACGAAGAACUCCGAUUGCGAAGGCAGCUCACUGGACUGCAACUGACACUGAUGCUCGAAAGUGUGGGUAUCAAACAGGAUUAGAUACCCUGGUAGUCCACACAGUAAACGAUGAAUACUCGCUGUUUGCGAUAUACAGUAAGCGGCCAAGCGAAAGCAUUAAGUAUUCCACCUGGGGAGUACGCCGGCAACGGUGAAACUCAAAGGAAUUGACGGGGGCCCGCACAAGCGGAGGAACAUGUGGUUUAAUUCGAUGAUACGCGAGGAACCUUACCCGGGCUUAAAUUGCAGUGGAAUGAUGUGGAAACAUGUCAGUGAGCAAUCACCGCUGUGAAGGUGCUGCAUGGUUGUCGUCAGCUCGUGCCGUGAGGUGUCGGCUUAAGUGCCAUAACGAGCGCAACCCUUAUCUUCAGUUACUAACAGGUCAUGCUGAGGACUCUGGAGAGACUGCCGUCGUAAGAUGUGAGGAAGGUGGGGAUGACGUCAAAUCAGCACGGCCCUUACGUCCGGGGCUACACACGUGUUACAAUGGGGGGUACAGAAGGCAGCUACCUGGUGACAGGAUGCUAAUCCCAAAAGCCUCUCUCAGUUCGGAUCGAAGUCUGCAACCCGACUUCGUGAAGCUGGAUUCGCUAGUAAUCGCGCAUCAGCCACGGCGCGGUGAAUACGUUCCCGGGCCUUGUACACACCGCCCGUCAAGCCAUGGGAGCCGGGGGUACCUGAAGUACGUAACCGCAAGGAGCGUCCUAGGUAAUCUACCU